Molecule: ribosomal RNA, 253 nt
Filed under: uncultured bacterium
Lineage: Bacteria
Description: partial 16S ribosomal RNA
Rfam family: Bacterial small subunit ribosomal RNA
Source: RNAcentral
UACGAAGGGGGCUAGCGUUGUUCGGAAUUACUGGGCGUAAAGCGCAUGCAGGCGGAUUGUUAAGUCGGGGGUGAAAUCCCGAGGCUCAACCUCGGAACUGCCUUCGAUACUGGCAAUCUUGAGUCCGGGAGAGGUGAGUGGAACUGCGAGUGUAGAGGUGAAAUUCGUAGAUAUUCGCAAGAACACCAGUGGCGAAGGCGGCUCACUGGCCCGGUACUGACGCUGAGGUGCGAAAGCGUGGGGAGCAAACAGG